CCCAGACUCCUACGGGAGGCAGCAGUGGGGGAUAUUGCACAAUGGGGGGAACCCUGAUGCAGCGACGCCGCGUGGGUGAAGGAGUAUUUCGGUAUGUAAAGCCCUAUCGGCAGGGAAGAAGCAAGACGGUACCUGACUAAGAAGCCCCGGCUAACUACGUGCCAGCAGCCGCGGUAAUACGUAGGUGGCAAGCGUUGUCCGGAUUUACUGGGUGUAAAGGGCGUGUAGCCGGGCUGACAAGUCAGAUGUGAAAUCCGGGGGCUCAACCCCCGAACUGCAUUUGAAACUGUUGGUCUUGAGUAUCGGAGAGGCAGGCGGAAUUCCUAGUGUAGCGGUGAAAUGCGUAGAUAUUAGGAGGAACACCAGUGGCGAAGGCGGUCUGCUGGACAGCAACUGACGCUGAGGCGCGAAAGCGUGGGGAGCAAACAGGAUUAGAUACCCGAGUAAU
RNAcentral lists this ribosomal RNA (448 nucleotides) under uncultured bacterium. RNAcentral's name for it is "partial 16S ribosomal RNA". It matches the Rfam family "Bacterial small subunit ribosomal RNA", at positions 330 to 794 of the family's 1533-position model. The record is from RNAcentral.